AGGAUUCCACAUCAAAAUAAUCCCCCCACAUUGCCCAACAGAGGGGAUACAAAAACUACAAUUAAAACCCAGCCUCUGGACCAAGCGAUCAGCCUGAUCACGAGAGGAUCUGGAAUCUAAAAUGCACAAAACAUCUAAGCAAAGAGUACUGAUAUAAAACAGAAUUUGGAGAAUAAAGCCACGCCAGGCACUGCCUCGGCUAUUCCAGACUA
This 212-nucleotide long non-coding RNA is filed under the name Prunus dulcis (almond). RNAcentral describes it as "sRNA ncRNA". Lineage: Eukaryota; Viridiplantae; Streptophyta; Magnoliopsida; Rosales; Rosaceae. The record is from RNAcentral.